CCUACGGGGCGCAGCAGUGAGGAAUAUUGGUCAAUGGGCGCGAGCCUGAACCAGCCAAGUCGCGUGAGGGAAGACGGUCCUAUGGAUUGUAAACCUCUUUUGUCGGGGCGCAAAAGACGCCCCGCGUGGCGUUCCGAGAGUACCCGAAGAAAAAGCAUCGGCUAACUCCGUGCCAGCAGCCGCGGUAAUACGGAGGAUGCGAGGGUUAUCCGGAUUUAUGGGGUUAAAAGGGUGGGCAGGCGGAAGAUCAGGUCAGCGGUAAAAUCGGGAGGCUCAACCUCUUCGAGCCGUUGAAACUGGUUUUCUUGAGUGAGUGAGAAGUAUGCGGAAUGCGUGGUGUAGCGGUGAAAUGCAUAGAUAUCACGCAGAACUCCGAUUGCGAAGGCAGCAUACCGGCGCUCAACUGACGCUCAUGCACGAAAGUGUGGGUAUCGAACAGGAUUAGAUACCCUGGUAGUC
This 459-nucleotide ribosomal RNA is filed under the name uncultured bacterium. Its description in RNAcentral is "partial 16S ribosomal RNA". It matches the Rfam family "Bacterial small subunit ribosomal RNA", at positions 338 to 795 of the family's 1533-position model. The record is from RNAcentral.